UGGGGAAUAUUGCACAAUGGGCGCAAGCCUGAUGCAGCAAUGCCGCGUGUGUGAAGAAGGCCUUCGGGUUGUAAAGCACUUUCAGACGUGAGGAAAAGUUAAUAGUUAAUAACUGUUAACCCUGACGUUAACGUCAGAAGAAGCACCGGCUAACUCCGUGCCAGCAGCCGCGGUAAUACGGAGGGGGCUAGCGUUGUUCGGAAUUACUGGGCGUAAAGCGUACGUAGGCGGAUCAGAAAGUAUGGGGUGAAAUCCCAGGGCUUAACCCUGGAACUGCCUCAUAAACUCCUGGUCUUGAGUUCGAGAGAGGUGAGUGGAAUUCCAAGUGUAGAGGUGAAAUUCGUAGAUAUUUGGAGGAACACCAGUGGCGAAGGCGGCUCACUGGCUCGAUACUGACGCUGAGGUACGAAAGUGUGGGGAGCAAACA
This 427-nucleotide ribosomal RNA is filed under the name uncultured Alphaproteobacteria bacterium. RNAcentral's name for it is "bacterial SSU rRNA". It matches the Rfam family "Bacterial small subunit ribosomal RNA", at positions 355 to 774 of the family's 1533-position model. Lineage: Bacteria; Pseudomonadati; Pseudomonadota; Alphaproteobacteria. The record is from RNAcentral.